This 253-nucleotide ribosomal RNA is filed under the name uncultured bacterium. RNAcentral's name for it is "partial 16S ribosomal RNA". It matches the Rfam family "Bacterial small subunit ribosomal RNA", at positions 524 to 776 of the family's 1533-position model. The record is from RNAcentral.
UACGAAGGGUGCAAGCGUUACUCGGAAUUACUGGGCGUAAAGCGUGCGUAGGUGGUUUGUUAAGUCUGUUGUGAAAGCCCCGGGCUCAACCUGGGAAUGGCAAUGGAUACUGGCAAGCUAGAGUGCGGUAGAGGGUAGUGGAAUUCCCGGUGUAGCGGUGAAAUGCGUAGAUAUCAGGAAGAACACCCGUGGCUAAGGCGGUUCUCUAGUACGGUACUGACGCUGAGACGCGAAAGCGUGGGGAGCGAACAGG